GGGUCAGUAGGUUGGUCGUGCCACCGGUACGUACUGGUCUCACUGAUUCCUCCUUCCUGAAGAACCGUAAUGCCAUUAAUUUGGUGUUGCGGGGAAACAGGACUGUUACUUUGAAAAGAUUAGAGUGUUUAAAGCUAGCUAACGCUUGAAUACAUUAGCAUGGAAUAAUGAAAUAGGACGAUCGAUCCUAUUUUGUUGGUUUCUAGGAUUGACGUA
RNAcentral lists this ribosomal RNA (216 nucleotides) under Glomeromycotina sp. Its description in RNAcentral is "partial small subunit ribosomal RNA". The stretch from base 40 to 216 matches the Rfam family "Eukaryotic small subunit ribosomal RNA", at positions 686 to 864 of the family's 1831-position model. Lineage: Eukaryota; Fungi; Glomeromycota. The record is from RNAcentral.